This 406-nucleotide ribosomal RNA is filed under the name uncultured bacterium. RNAcentral's name for it is "partial 16S ribosomal RNA". It matches the Rfam family "Bacterial small subunit ribosomal RNA", at positions 30 to 526 of the family's 1533-position model. The record is from RNAcentral.
AUUGAACGCUGGCGGCAGGCUUAACACAUGCAAGUCGAGCGAGCGGCGGACGGGUGAGUAAUGUCUGGGAACCUGCCUGAUGGAGGGGGAUAACUACUGGAAACGGUAGCUAAUACCGCAUACUAUCAGAUGUGCCCAGAUGGGAUUAGCUAGUCGGUGGGGUAAUGGCUCACCUAGGCGACGAUCCCUAGCUGGUCUGAGAGGAUGACCAGCCACACUGGGACUGAGAAACGGGCCGUACGCCUACGGGAGGCAGCAGUGGGGAAUUUUGCACAAUGGGGGCAAGCCUGAUGCAGCCAUGCCGCGUGUGUGAAGAAGGCCUUCGGGUUGGAAAGUACUUUCAGCGAGGAGGCGUUACUCGCAGAAUAAGCACCGGCUAACUCCGUGCCAGCAGCCGCGGUAAUAC